GUGAUCCCAGGGAGUAAGGAGCCUCUGACUCCCUGCAGAGCACCAGCGCCCUUCAUCCCCAGGGCUCUUCCCCUGGCUGCUCCGUGUGGGCUGCCAAUAGUCAAAAAGAAGAACCGUACCAAAUUCAAUAUCUUUCUGAAAACUUGCAAAACCUGAGAAGCUAGCUUAUUUAAAACAGGAAGCUCUGCUGUUUACUACCUUAUGUCUCCCCAGAUAGUAUCUCUGUUUCAUUAGUUGAGACCCAGGCUGCCACUGGACACUUGCCACUCUGACUUUGCCGAGCCACCAGGCACCGCUUGUCUGUUUGCACCUGAGUGAGAACGUACUGAAAUGCAACUGGAGCUGGUUAUUUAGAAAAAUUACCAGCCCUGCGGGGUGGAAGUGCUGGGGCCCAAGUGGCUGAGCCACAGAGAAAGGCAGCUGGGGAGCUUUCUGAAGAGGACGGGGUGCAGCAACAAUCAGUGCAGCGAAGUUCUUCUUCUGAAGUAAAGGAAAUCCUGAGAAAAUGGACAGAGCUACAAACAUUUGUAGAGAAGACCCAGCCAGGCAGGGAAAGAAAGAGCCAAUCAUUGCGGUCCCUCGCUUAGUGACGACGUCACGUCACACUACAGAACAGUGUUAAAGACAAGACAGAAACAGGCAGCCUCAGAGCAGGUCUUAGUUCUGAAAAGGCUGAGACCCAGUGGGCCGAAGCAGGGCCUAGGGGGCUACAGACUCCCCCAAGGAGAGAAAGGACACUGGAGAGCCAGGUC
RNAcentral lists this long non-coding RNA (752 nucleotides) under Fukomys damarensis (Damara mole-rat). RNAcentral describes it as "lncRNA (ENSFDAG00000031081.1)". Lineage: Eukaryota; Metazoa; Chordata; Mammalia; Rodentia; Bathyergidae. The record is from RNAcentral.